Non-coding RNA from Ciona savignyi (Pacific transparent sea squirt), 337 nucleotides. Lineage: Eukaryota; Metazoa; Chordata; Ascidiacea; Phlebobranchia; Cionidae. The record is from Rfam.
CUGACCGGAUCAGCGUAGUGCUCUCCUUGGCCGAGCAGGUCCGGGGAAAUUCGUUGAAACCCCGGUCGUGCUAGGGAUAGGGAAUUGCAAUUAUUUCCCUUGAACGAGGAAUUCCCAGUAAGCGCGAGUCAUUAGCUCGCGUUGAUUACGUCCCUGCCCUUUGUACACACCGCCCGUCGCUACUACCGAUUGAAUGGUUUAGUGAGGUCCUCCGAUUGGACCCGGUCCGGGCGGCGACGUCCGAGCCGGCGUCCGAGAAGACGAUCUAACUUGAUCAUUUAGAGGAAGUAAAAGUCGUAACAAGGUUUCCGUAGGUGAACCUGCGGAAGGAUCAUUA